GAAGGGUUAUUGGCUGCGAGGGAAGGGUUAUUGGCUGCGAGGGAAGGGUAAUUGGCUGCGAGGGAUGGGUUAUUGGCUGCGAGGGAAGGGUUAUUGGCUGCGAGGGAUGGGGUUAUUGGCUGCGAAGGAAGGGUUAUUGGCUGCGAGGGAAGGGUUAUUGGCUGCGAGGGAAGGGUUAUUGGCUGCGAGGGAUGGGUUAUUGGCUGCGAGGGAAGGGUUAUUGGCUGCGAGGGAAGGGUUAUUGGCUGCGAGGGAAGGGUUAUUGGCUGCGAGGGAAGGGUUAUUGACUGCGAGGGAAGGGUUAUUGGCUGCGAGGGAAGGGUUAUUGGCUGCGAGGGAAGGGUUAUUGGCUGCGAGGGAUGGGGUUAUUGGCUGCGAGGGAUGGGGUUAUUGGCUGCGAGGGAUGGGUAAAUUGACUGCGAGGGAUGGGUAAAUUGACUGCGAGGGAUGGGUAAAUUGGCUGCGAGGGAUGGGUAAAUUGACUGCGAGGGAUGGGUAAAUUGACUGCGAGGGAUGGGUAAAUUGACUGCGAGGGAUGGGUUAUUGGCUGCGAGGGAUGGGUAAAUUGACUGCGAGGGAUGGGUUAUUGACUGCGAGGGAUGGGUUAUUGACUGCGAGGGAUGGGUUAUUGACUGCGAGGGAUGGGUUAUUGGCUGCGAGGGAUGGGUUAUUGGCUGCGAGGGAUGGGUAAAUUGACUGCGAGGGAUGGG
This 710-nucleotide long non-coding RNA is filed under the name Salmo salar (Atlantic salmon). RNAcentral describes it as "lncRNA (ENSSSAG00000098094.1)". The record is from RNAcentral. Lineage: Eukaryota; Metazoa; Chordata; Actinopteri; Salmoniformes; Salmonidae.